This is a long non-coding RNA of Zingiber officinale, 3002 nucleotides long. RefSeq lists it as uncharacterized. NCBI's taxonomy places the organism in Eukaryota, Viridiplantae, Streptophyta, Magnoliopsida, Zingiberales, Zingiberaceae. The transcript has 8 exons. The record is from RefSeq and is a predicted model, not a curated record.
AUCGGGCUUUUAAUGGAUGCCUCUCCCAUGGCGAACGAUGGCUGCUCAAAGUGUCGUUGUUGAAGUUGUUGUUUGGUUGGCGUUGAGAGAGAUUUGCACGUAGCAGCGCUGAAUUGGAGCGGGACCAGAUUAAUGUUUGCCAAGAUCGACCACGACUGUAACAGCUCGGAUGAGGAUGGUUGGAGGAGAGAGAAGAUAUCGAAUUGGAUCUGUGUAUUGAUUACAAGGGGCUGGAAAUCUCCUACACAGGAAACUGAAACGAAUGCAGGUUUAAGAGUCUAUGAUGGAAUGACUCUGGUCAAAGAAUUUGCCUUCCUUCCAUAGUUCCAUUGCUUCUGCUGAUCAAGAAUCAAUAAAUCAAUCUCCUAUGACGAUCUGAAAAGAUGAUUGGGAUUACCAGGAGAGCAUGUUACUCCGCUUGUGCUUCUGUCUCGGAUUAAGAGUCUCAUGGAGCUUAGAGCCCCAGACCUAGCGCACAUGACGCCUGUGUUUGAGGCGAUACGGGCAUUGAAAGCCGCAUUAAUUGCACGUGCGCAUGUGCGCAGGUGAGAGUACGUGUCUGUGUGACUGUCCACGCGCUCACAUGAAGAGGAGUGUGAUGGCUGGGCACACAUGCAAGUCAAGUCCUAUUCAUACACCCUGGCCAUUCCCACUCCCCUUGCCAUGCCAUGAGCUUCAAGGUAUGGUAUGGAGUAAUAUGUUAUAUGCUCCCGUCUGGUGGGGACUUAAUAACCCAACCAGAUCAAUCGAGAUAAAGUUUAAGAAAAGGUUAGGUUUCUAAGAAUGCUGGUUUUCAUGAGCACUUUUUAGUUUAAUAGUCAAUUUGAAGGGUUGAAUAUUUGAUGUCAACUAAAAAAAAGGUUAGAUUUGAAUGAUAAAUUUAAAAAUGUUGACUGCUUAAAUGAGUCUCUACAAGUGUUUUUUGAAUUAUGUUGAUGGCUGAUAAAAAACUUCACAGAAUUGGAUACAUGAAUUAUUAGGUUGGCUGGAAAUGAGAUGUCUAUCUUUACCUCUGUCUCUGGUUCCUCAUCCAACAUAGGUAGGUGACUGCAGCCACGCACAUCUUCUCAUAUCUCUCUCUGUUGUCAGAGUUUGCUGGGAGAACAACAGGACACGUGGCCAGAGGACCGUUCCAAAGGGGAUCUUAGUGUUGAAAGCAUUAGGUACAGACACGAAGAUAUUGGGAUUCAAGAGUUGAGGAUCACAGUAUUAUAUUGGCCGCAUGAUCCGGGCAUGGAAGAUCUAACUAUAAGGAUCUCAGGUUUAAAAGUUCGCACAAGCAUCCCACAUGGGGGGUCUGGCACUUGCUCUACGGCAUCUUGUUGGAAUUUUCCUUCAAUUAACCAUGUAAACUUAGGUUGUGAAUAGAGUAAUAAAGGGUGCAGCACCUAUGAACUUUGUCCUCGAAAACAUAGACACUGCUUUAUCCUUGUACUGUCUAAUGGGACGACAAGACCACUGUCCUCGCUAUCUCUGAGAAAAGAUCAUUCAAAUGAGAAGUAAAUUCAGGCUUUGCUUAAUACCGCUUUGGAUUGGAUACCGAUUCAGAGAAAUUUUCAAAAGAAAAAUUCAAAGAAUUUGGGCUCUUCUGGAAACGAUGAAAGAAUCUCGCAAGGAUUGUACUGCAGCCAAAACAAGGCUGGAAGGUAGUGGAUCCACCAUCAUGAUGCCAUUGUAUGUUCUAUUUGGAGUGCUCGUGGGGGUUGGAGAUCAGGUUGAAAGAUCAUUGUGUGGUACCUUCGAGACCAUGGUCUUGGCUUGCCGAGAGAAGUGGAUUGAAGGAAGCCCAUUUGCUUUUUCUGGCGUAUAGUUUCUCUGCUCAAUAUUGGACUACCAAUUGAAACACAGAGCAACAAUGGAAGAUGUGCUUAUGGAAGUAAGAAAAAUUCACCUCGAAAUGGGUAGCUGAGUAGCCACAAGAGAAUUCCAAAUCACCUUCCAUGGGGGUCUUCAUGUAGCUGCUGAUGUCCUCACUAAUGAAGCUGGCCUGCAAUACCAGCGAACCUCAAGAGGUUAAUAACCAACGAGAGCAGGCGAAGUGGAACUUCAACCAAAAUCUGCAUUCAUACUUUGGGUUGGCUGACGAGAGGUGAACUGGCAGUGUCAUCCAACAGAGAAGAGCAAUGCUCCUGGUAUUGUUGCUCCGGUUCAACUUUCCUCUUCUUGCCAUUACCACACUUGACUAAGUCAUUGCCUUCAAAGCAAGUCCUGGAGUUGAUACAGUGGAGGGAGAGCUUAUCCUGUUCAGGGAAGUGAGGCGGCCCAGAGGAUGCAUCAGAGACCAUCGACGAGUCUUCUUCUUCCUCCUCCUCCUCCUCCUCCAACAAGGAAUCGCCUUUCUUAUGCUCAAGAGGCAGAGAGAAGGCACAGGAGGAGUUGUCUAAGUAAGCCGUCCAACCAGAUUGGCAUCCACUGCUGCACUCUGAGCUGAUGACAUCUCGCUCCUCCUCCCCCAGCAUGAUCAGGGGAGAUAUAUUUCUUCCACAAACCAUGAUUCGCACCUGCAGCAAAAGCAAUCAGUAAUCUAAAUGGUCAAUUAUAUUCUGACCAUCAAAAUGCCGUCGAAUGGUUUUGAUGAGUGUUGCAUGACUCGCUUAGCGAAGACUGAAGACUUUGUUCUUUGUCUAGGUAAUUUAUUCCCUCCGUGAAACAGGGAAAGUCUAAACAUGCAUGAACAUGGACGGCCAGGCACGGCGUGCGUGCUCUUCUCUUUGCCCUCGCACUUAACGGAGUCUGGGACCAUGGUUCUUUACCCCGCACCUCUCACCGCUUUCCACUUCCAUCUCCUGCAUGUGCUAAUGGCCUCUUCACAUGCCCGCCAUGUAGAUGGUACGUAAUUAGCCUGUAUGUUACGUUGGAUUCUUAACUUGAAGCCUAGCUAGCUAGUUUGGAUCAUGAAAUUGAAUGCCCCCACCUAUUUGGAGGCCGAUGUAGCUAAGAGACACUAACUAGAAUUCAAUAUCCAUCUAUGCUUAUGAUACAUACAUUGAUUUGAUCUGCCA